GUGCUUCCAUAGUGCAGACUAAAAUUGGAAGGAUGUCAAGAUGAUUAACAUGGUCCCCGCACAAGGAUGACAUGAAUUUUUGCAGCAUUUCAUAUUUUU
This is a small nuclear RNA of Chlorocebus sabaeus (green monkey), 99 nucleotides long. The record is from Ensembl. NCBI's taxonomy places the organism in Eukaryota, Metazoa, Chordata, Mammalia, Primates, Cercopithecidae.